UACGUAGGUGGCAAGCGUUGUCCGGAAUUAUUGGGCGUAAAGCGCGCGCAGGCGGUCUUUUUAAGUCUGAUGUGAAAGCCCACGGCUCAACCGUGGAGGGUCAUUGGAAACUGGGAGACUUGAGUGCAGAAGAGAAGAGUGGAAUUCCACGUGUAGCGGUGAAAUGCGUAGAGAUGUGGAGGAACACCAGUGGCGAAGGCGACUCUUUGGUCUGUAACUGACGCUGAGG
This 229-nucleotide ribosomal RNA is filed under the name uncultured bacterium. RNAcentral describes it as "partial 16S ribosomal RNA". It matches the Rfam family "Bacterial small subunit ribosomal RNA", at positions 524 to 751 of the family's 1533-position model. The record is from RNAcentral.